AUGGGUGCUCUUGCUAGGGAGAAGGUGCACACACACACACAGACACACACACACACUCAUACACACAGGCACACUCACACACUCACGCAAGACACACUCAUACANNNNNNNNNNCACACACACACACAACACACAUACACACACGCUCACACACAACACACACACUCAUACACACACAGACAUGCUCACACACUCACCCAAGACCCACACUCAUAUGCACACAGACACGCUCACACACAACACACACUCUCACACUCAUACACACUCACACAGACGCUCAGACACAGCACACACACACUUAUACACACUCACACAGACACACGCACAACACACACACACANNNNNNNNNNACACACACACACACUCAUACACACACAGGCACAUUCACACACACACAAGACACUCAUACGCACACGGACACACUCAACACAUGCACACUCAUACACUCACACACAGACAUGCUCGCACACAUUCGUACACACAGACAUGCUCACAUACAUACACACUCACCCUCACCCUCAUACACUCAUACACACAGUUCACACACACGCUCACAGACACACACUCACACAUAUGCUCACACACUCAUACACAUGCUCACACACACACUCAUACACACACGCUUACACACAGUCUCACACACACGCUGACACACAGCCACACAGCCACUGUGCAAACAUACACAAUGUCAUAUAUUUCUUCAAGCCCCACUAUAGCCCUGAUUUAUCCACACCCUGCAUUUCAAACCAGCACACUGAGGACCAGAGCGGGGGUCCUCAGUGUGACUUGCCCAAGGUCACACUAGAAGUGAGUGUCGGCAUUGGGACCACAUCCCAGGAGUCCCGGGUCCAGAUAAGUGAGGGUUUCAUUCCCAGAUGCAACUACUGCUUUCCCCAGAGGCUGCCUGUAAGGCCUUUCAUUUAUUCAACACUGAUUCAAGCAUUUUUGAGCAUCAGCUACAGGGCAGGCAUGGAGCUUGGCGCUGGGGAUAGGGCAGAAAGCAGACAGCCCGGGUCCUUGCCCUCAGGGGGUUGUCAAUCCAGUGGGAGAGACGGAACAGACUGCAAACAAGUCGUUGCACAGAGAAAUGCAUGA
This 1095-nucleotide long non-coding RNA is filed under the name Piliocolobus tephrosceles (Ugandan red Colobus). RNAcentral describes it as "lncRNA (ENSPTEG00000038445.1)". Lineage: Eukaryota; Metazoa; Chordata; Mammalia; Primates; Cercopithecidae. The record is from RNAcentral.